GGGGGCAACUCCGCGAGUAAAGUGGCAGACGGGUGAGUAACACGUGAGCAAUCUACCCUCGAGCGUGGGAUAACCCCGCGAAAGCGGGGCUAAUACCGCAUAACAUCCCCGGGUCGCAUGAACUGGGGAUCAAAGGCUUCGGUCGCUAGAGGAGGAGCUCGCGCCUGAUUAGCUAGUUGGUGAGGUGACGGCCCACCAAGGCAACGAUCAGUAGCCGGCCUGAGAGGGCGUACGGCCACACUGGAACUGAGACACGGUCCAGACUCCUACGGGAGGCAGCAGUGGGGAAUUUUGCGCAAUGGGCGAAAGCCUGACGCAGCAACGCCGCGUGGAGGAUGAAGGCCUUCGGGUCGUAAACUCCUGUCAGGGGGGACGAAACGCCAGAAAUGGCUCUGACUGUACCCCCGGAGGAAGCCACGGCUAACUCCGUGCCAGCAGCCGCGGUAAUACGGAGGUGGCUAGCGUUGUUCGGAAUUACUGGGCGUAAAGGGCGCGUAGGCGGCAUUGCAAGUCGGAUGUGAAAGCCCCGGGCUCAACUCGGGAAUUGCAUCCGAAACUGCUUUGCUUGAGUCCUGGAGGGGGGUAGUGGAAUUCCCAGUGUAGCGGUGAAAUGCGUAGAUAUUGGGAGGAACACCGGUGGCGAAGGCGGCUACCUGGACAGUGACUGACGCUGAGGCGCGAAAGCUAGGGGAGCGAACGGGAUUAGAUACCCCGGUAGUCCUAGCCGUA
RNAcentral lists this ribosomal RNA (729 nucleotides) under uncultured bacterium. Its description in RNAcentral is "bacterial SSU rRNA". It matches the Rfam family "Bacterial small subunit ribosomal RNA", at positions 75 to 804 of the family's 1533-position model. The record is from RNAcentral.